Molecule: non-coding RNA, 1021 nt
Organism: Sus scrofa (pig)
Lineage: Eukaryota; Metazoa; Chordata; Mammalia; Artiodactyla; Suidae
Source: RefSeq, a predicted model, not a curated record
AACGGCUCAGGACUGUACUAUCCGCCCUUUCCAUCUCUUCCACCAAAAAUACUUGCGUUGGCGCCCAGCUUCACUCUGUGUCUCCCUGGUUGCACAUAGCCACCUGACCAAGGCAGGAACUGCAACCACAACUCAGCAAAGAACUUUCUUGACAUUACCGUUACUAUCGCAUAGAAUGAGAAUGCUUUUGCCUCAAUUCUCCACUUUCGUUGCCUAGCAGAUUUUGACAGCUGUGACCAGAAAGCCAACAUUAUACAGCUAACGUGAUCGUGUUAAGAAAAGUGAAGGCCAGCCCAGCAAAUCAACUUCUUGGAAGGCUAGUGUGGUGAAGUUUAUCAGUAUGAUGUCUGCGCACCUUGACAAGGAGAUGGGAAAAGUCUGGAGUCUUUCCCAAGAGGAAAGACUUAAGGAGACUGACAUCAGGGACUCCCAUACUCAACAGCUCAGGAGGCUCACCUUACAGUAGGGCUCACAUUUCCUGCCCACACACUUCAAGCAUUUUAUCUCCUACUUGGAAUUCUUGGCAGCAAUCAAAUAUCACCUGACAUCUGAGGAAAACUUCUAAGAGAAAAGACGGACCCAAACAAACAGAAGAAAACACGGAAGAAACUGGGAUGAUACAGGAAGAAGAAAACUUGGAUAGAAGACUAAAAAAGAUGGAACGUUCUGAGUUCAGAGUAAUAUUUUUUUCCCUUAAAUUUACUAUGCUAACAGGGAUGGCGAAAGUUGAGGAAAACUAUUCAGAAAAUAGCAAGCCCCCCCCCCCAAAAAAGAUAAAAUUUAAAAGGAGGUCUAGGAGUUCUCUUGUGACACAGUGGGUUAAGGAUCUGGUGUUGUCAUUGCAACAGCUUGAGUCACUGCUAUGGUGCAGGUUUGAUCUCUGGCUUGGGAAUUACAACAUGCCAUUGGGCACUGUCAAAAAAUAAAUAAGUAAAUAAAUAAAAGGAGGUCUACUAUCUGAUUACUAGCAGUUGUAAAAAGAAAGGGACAAACAAAAAAGGAAAUACUUUCAAUAAAACAA